RNAcentral lists this ribosomal RNA (109 nucleotides) under Gopherus evgoodei (Goodes thornscrub tortoise). Lineage: Eukaryota; Metazoa; Chordata; Testudines; Testudinidae. The record is from RNAcentral.
GUCUACGGCCAUACCACCCUGAACACGCCUGAUCUCGGAAGCUAAGCAGGGUCGGGCCUGGUUAGUACUUGGAUGGGAGAUCUCCUGGGAAUACUGGGUGCUGUAGGCU